Cercocebus atys (sooty mangabey) is the source of this 84-nucleotide microRNA precursor. NCBI's taxonomy places the organism in Eukaryota, Metazoa, Chordata, Mammalia, Primates, Cercopithecidae. The record is from Ensembl.
UAUUAGUUUGGUACAAAAGUAAUUGCGGUUUUUGCCAUUACUUUCCGUGGCAAAAACUGCAAUUACUUUUGCACCAACCUAAUA